ACAUUUUAUAUAAGCGUUUAUUUACAACUUGUUUAACAACUGUACACUCUGUCACCUUGGAAGCAUUAGUGGAUUUGAUUGGGAAAAAAUAUUCAAACCUUUUGAUUCCAAUGAACAUUACUGACAUUUUUUUUUCUAUAUACAGAUAUGUAUAUUGAUGCUGCUACCAUGACAGUCUGGUAGUUACACAAAUCAUGGAUGAACUGAAAUGGGAAAGUAAUGUUUUGACACUCCUCUAGGAAUCAAUUCGUUUACAGAAAAUAUAUCACUGGCAACUUCACAAACAGUUAUUUUGAUAAUUGGUCAACACUUAAUUCGGGACUGUCAAACAAGCUGCUAUUAAGAAAGUAAAAGAGUUUUCUAUGCAGCACAAACAAAGUUAGUAUAUCAGAGACAUGCUGGAGAUCACCUCUGAGUUGUGAGCUCGCGAUCACUUUGCGACAGAGAUGCUCGGCUCAUCUAACCCAAGUGGCCAGCUCACUCGCUGAAAGCUGCUGACUGUACCCAGCACCUCUGUUGCUUGAGUGAACUCAGACAACUUCAGUCAAGCUAAACACACUUACAUACAAAUGUCUUCAGGCUCAAGAACAACUGAUAUCUAGUCUCUAAUUUGCACAGAGCACUUGGAGAAAUGAGGUACUGCUCGGCUUCAUCGGGAUGCUCGUGCAGGCGGGUGCAUGAAAACAGCCAUCCCCUCCCGCCUUGCACGGCGCCGACCCGGGGCCUGCACCCAGCCUGGCCUGGGGCUGGUGCGGCCCUGGACCAAGCAGCACUUGGAAAUGAGAAACAAUCUGUGCCAUAACACCCAACAGAGAGGAGUUCUUCCACUUGCCCCAACACGUAACAAAGGGGUCAGUGGCGAGGACCUGGAAAGACAAAUCCUUCAGCGCUUUGCUGGACUCAGUCUGAUGAAAGUGCUGCUGCCUCUCUGCUGCAGGAACAGCCUCCUAGUCAGCACCAAACCCAAGAUCCUGCCCGCAGGUCAUAGAAUCAUAGAAUCAUAGAAUCGUAAGGGUUGGAAAGGACCUUAAGAUCAUCUAGUUCCAACCCCCCUGCCAUGGGCAGGGACACCUUGCCCUAAACCAUGUGGCUCAAGGCUCUGUCCAACCUGGCCUUGAACACUGCCAGGGAUGAAGCAUCCACAACCUCCCUGGGCAACCCAUUCCAGUGCUUCACCACCCUCACUGUAAAGAACUUCUUCCUAAUAUCUAAUCUAAACUUCCUCUGUUUAAGUUUGAACCCAUUACCCCUUGUCCUACCACUACAGUCCCUAAGGGAGAGUCCCUCCCCAGCAUCCUUGUAGACCCCCUUCAGAUACUGGAAGGCUGCUAUGAGGUCACCACGCAGCCUUCUCUUCUCCAGGCUGAACAGCCCCAACUUCCUCAGCCUGUCUUCAUAUGGGAGGUGCUCCAGCCCUCUUAUCAUCCUCGUGGCCCUCCUCUGGACUCGCUCCAACAGCUUCAUGUCCUUUUUAUGUUGAGGACACCAGAACUGUACGCAGUACUCCAAGUGGGGUCUCACAAGAGCAGAGUAGAGGGGCAGGAUCACCUCCUUCGACCUGCUGGUCACGCUUCUUUUGAUGCAGCCCAGGAUACGGUUGGCUUUCUGGGCUGCAAGUGCACACUGCCGGCUCAUGUUAAGCUUUUCGUCAACCAACACCCCCAAGUCCUUUUCUGCAGGGCUGCUCUGAAUCUCUUCUCUGCCCAGCCUGUAGCAGUGCCUGGGGUUGCCCCGACCCAGGUGUAGGACCUUGCACUUGGCUUGGUUAAACUUCAUAAGGUUGGCAUCGGCCCACCUCACAAGCGUGUCAAGGUCCCUCUGGAUGGCAUCCCUUCCCUCCAGUGUAUCAACCGAACCACACAGCUUGGUGUCAUCGGCAAACUUGCUGAGGGCGCACUCAAUCCCACUGUCCACAUCAGACUUCACUGUCCCAGGUCCUGGCGGACUGGGAGACAUAUCCCCCUCCGGAAGUCUUUCCGGACCACUGUCAGCCACAGCACCUGGCAGCCACUGGCUCCCCUGUCUGGUGUGGGAUCCAGAAGAGAACAUGCCACACACUUCUCACUGGGAUCUUAAUGCUUAUUCCCCACCUCUCUUGCAUGGUGUGCCUGAAGCCCAUUCCCCCCUGCCCUUCCCUGUGCCGGGUAGCACAGUCCCUGCCGUAGGGGACAUGACCUGUCUUUCCCCAAGUCAUUCUGCACAAUGCUGGUGGCGCAGAGGGCAUCAGGACCCCGAGGGUUGAACACACAGCUCAGCCCAGGAUC
Molecule: long non-coding RNA, 2264 nt
Filed under: Strigops habroptila (Kakapo)
Lineage: Eukaryota; Metazoa; Chordata; Aves; Psittaciformes; Psittacidae
Description: lncRNA (ENSSHBG00005003442.1)
Source: RNAcentral